This 433-nucleotide ribosomal RNA is filed under the name uncultured bacterium. RNAcentral describes it as "partial 16S ribosomal RNA". It matches the Rfam family "Bacterial small subunit ribosomal RNA", at positions 29 to 507 of the family's 1533-position model. The record is from RNAcentral.
AACGAACGCUGGCGGCAUGCCUAACACAUGCAAGUCGAACGAGACCUUCGGGUCUAGUGGCGCACGGGUGCGUACCGCGUGGGAACCUGCCCUUAGGUUCGGAAUAACUCCCCGAAAGGGGUGCUAAUACCGGAUAAUGUCUUCGGACCAAAGAUUUAUCGCCUUUGGAUGGGCCCGCGUUGGAUUAGCUAGUUGGUAGGGUAAAAGCCUACCAAGGCGACGAUCCAUAGCUGGUCUGAUAGGAUGACCAGCCACACUGGGACUGAGACACGGCCCAGACUCCUACGCGAGGCAGCAGUGGGGAAUAUUGGACGAUGGGCGAAAGCCUGAUCCAGCAAUGCCGCGGGAGUGAUGAAGGCCUUAGGGUUGUAAAGCUCUUUUACCCGGGAUGAUAAUGACAGUACCGGGAGAAUAAGCUCCGGCUAACUCCGUG